Molecule: ribosomal RNA, 254 nt
Filed under: uncultured bacterium
Lineage: Bacteria
Description: partial 16S ribosomal RNA
Rfam family: Archaeal small subunit ribosomal RNA
Source: RNAcentral
UCCCAGCAGUCCAAGUCGUAGCCACAAUUAUUGGGUCUAAAACAUUCGUAGCUUGUUCGGAAAGUCUCCUGUGAAAUAGUUUCGCUUAACGAAACUGCGUGCAAGAGAUACUACCGGGCUUGAGACCGGAAGGAGUGAGAGGUACAUCUGAAGUAGUAGUAAAAUACGUUAAUCUUAGAUGGACCAACAAUGGCGAAGGCAUCUCACUAGGACGGAUCUGACAGUGAGGAAUGAAGGCUAGGGGCGCGAAACGG